This is a long non-coding RNA of Oreochromis niloticus (Nile tilapia), 5301 nucleotides long. RefSeq lists it as uncharacterized. The record is from RefSeq and is a predicted model, not a curated record. NCBI's taxonomy places the organism in Eukaryota, Metazoa, Chordata, Actinopteri, Cichliformes, Cichlidae. The transcript has 3 exons.
AGGGGCUCUGAAUCCGCAAGAGGCUCCAUUAAUAGCCUACACUCCAUCCUAACUAUUAUCCACCAUAAAGUGUUUAUAAAGAGCACACAAUCUCGGCUAGUGUUAUUUCUAAUGAGGCAUCAUGGUACAGCCGCCUGAUGCGGCAAGCGCCGAGGAGCACGGUGAAGGAGAGGAGGAAAAGUCUGAAAUUUGCUUUACACUGAGCCCGAUAGAGGGUGCGGUGAUAAUCACAGCAUAACUUGGAUGCCAUGAAAUCUGGCACAGCCUGUGUGCGCUCCGUCUGCAGCCAGGCGUCGGACUUAUUAUUCAUCCUACACCGGCUUCAGUUCAGGCUGUAAAGGUUUGGACCGGAUCAAGGAAGAAACUGGAUUAAAAAAAAAAACCCCAAAACAAAUCUCCCAGCCGUUCCACUCCUGCUUUGACUAAUUCCGGGUCUGACAUGAUGAUGCAAAGCAAAGCUGUUUAUACAGUCUAGCGGAUCACAAUGCAAACAAGUCCUGCGGGUUGUCAAAUCAGUUUGGACGAAGAACGUGAUGAAGUGCGGUGCAGCGGUGACAGAUGCAAGUUUAUUAAAGGAUUGGAGUCUCGGAGGGAUUCGAGGUGUUAUUUUACAGCACGCAGAACCUGAACUGAGCCGCUUCAGCUUGUUUACAUUAGCUGUGGCGGAAACAAAGUAUGAGCAAAGUAAAUGCAGAGCAUCAGGAUGCAAUGUGGUAAAUCCCCCCCCCCCAAAAGAAAACUAUUUAAACGCUACACACCACCACGGGUCAAACUUUACUCAGGCAAACAGUGUAAACGACGAGAUUUCCCGCUUCCUCAAACAACCUUGGUAAAAAUCCUUCCCAACUUGGCUGAAUAAAGUGACAUAUUUCACGUUUCAAAAUACCAGCAUCUCUGACACGCACAUUCCUUCCCUCUCCUCCUCCCUUGCCUUUUGUUUUCCUUGACACGUGCGCGCCAAUUAGCAUUUUUCAGCCAUUAAGGAGGAAAGAGAAGCAGCCAAAUGUUUGUCUCUCCCAGCUCUUUUUCCGACAAGAGUUUUCGAAUGUCAGUGAGGGAGGGGGGGGAGAACAUUCAGACAGAAUGUGGAAUAUUAUCCUCAGUGUUAACAUUAUCUUCUUCACAUAACAAUUACCAGUAGCUUUGUCUGGGAAACUGGUGUGACAAUGCAACCAAUUGGGUUUACGAGAGCAGUCGUCAGUCCACAUUUAGAGCAAUUUAAAAUGAUUUUCAGUGAGAGUACACAAGCAGUCGGGAUUACUUUCAUCUCCAGUGACGUCAUGUAAACCUGUAUAACAUUUUAUUUGAUGAAUUUUUUAUAUUUUGACUUCUGAGCACAAUCAGCUCCUUUCAACCGCGUCCGUUAAAACCUACAACAGUCUGCAAGAACUACAUCUUAAUGCUAACUCGGGCAGUAAGACUAUAGAUAGAUAGAAAUCGAGCCUUUUUGUCAUCAGGUCCUCUCGUGUGUCAAAUUAGGGCGUCCUAAUCUUUUCCUUUUACUCUUGAAUUUAAAUCUGCGAAUCUCAUAUUGCACACAUCCCUCGCUGCGGGGCUUUCGGCUGCUAAAAUCUGUCACCGCAGCUGGUGUAUCGUACAUUAAGGGAGAAAAUGCUCUUAAAAAGGUGCUUUUCUGACAUUAACAUGACUUGUGUGCAUAGCGCCGGUCGAUCUGUGUAGUUUGAGGCAUAUAUUUAUGAAUAGGAACCUUUAAUUAGGGCUUGUGUUUCCUCCCUAGUCACAUUGAGGGAUGGUCCUCGCCGACAUUCAUUAAUGAUAAUCACCAAGAGCGAUGGCAUAGCUACAGGCCAAGUCUCAGGGGAGCCGACACUUGAAAAGAAGCAUUAAAUUACACAGAGGGACUCUUUAAUUGCAAAAAGGAAAAUAUAUAGCCAUCAUUGUUAAAUAUGAUCUUUUGUAAGCCUUUACUGGUUCAAGGAUUUGUCCCAGGGUUUUCUUAUCCUCACAUUCGUUUAAACGAAUCUAGGGCCGCAGUUUAGCCGUAAUACGCCACAGAACCUUUGCGCAUCCAGAUUUUCGCCUCGGUUUUAUGUAUCGCAAACAAAGCACCAGCUGUAAAUAAAUCUACAGCAAAAUCCGAAACCUUGGCAAACCUGCACGUGGAGACGAACAAAUCUCAAAGAUUAUUAAUGCAAAAAUAUCUACGUUGUGUUUUUGAAAGUGCCUGAAAUUGUACAUCGGCUUUCGCUACUUAAACGUGUCUGCGAUUCAAGCGGAGCAUGUGAGCAGUGGAAACAGGCUGUCAGGGAGGCAAAUAAAGGAGAAAAAGUGUUUCUGUUCCCAGAUUCUGUCGUUUGGCAAUAAAAUGGUCUUGAUAUAAAUAAAUAAAUAAAAGUUAUGCAUGAACACACACACACACGCAUACUCAUACACACCCAAACUCCUGACCUAAUUGCUCAGUCUCAUUCAACUAAUUAAUCACAGCUGACUUAACAUGGUGACAAGGUUAGGUAGGUGACAUUCUCCAAAAAAUCCUGUCUUUCUGUCUCCUCUGUUGCUUUUUCCCCUUUUUAGCCUUAUUUAUUAACCAUUUUACCCCUUCUCUAAGAUUUUUUUUAAACAGGUUUGUCUUUUUUAAAUAUUUUCUGUUCUUUUCACUUCCAUUCUUCUUUCCAUCUUCCUGCCCUUUGUGUAGUUUUUGUCUCUCUUUCUGUCCUUCCCAUCUCUGCCCCCCCCUCACCAUCAAAUCAUGUCUAGCAAAGGAGUAAAUGGAGAGCAUAACUUGGCCCACAUCUAUUUUUACCUGUUAUUGAAGGUGGAUGUGUGGGGGGCCCUAGCAGAGGUGAGAGUGGGCAUGCUCGGGAAAGAGGUGUGUGUGUGUUGGUGGUGGUGGGGGGUUAGGGGCGGGGUCACAAUGCUCCAUUAAUCAAAAAGAAUGACACUCAUGUCGUCCGUGACAACCAUCCUGCCACCCGUACGUCUCUUCCCCUCCUCCUCCAUCCCACUCAAACGGGACAACUUUAGUGAUGGGGAGGGCGAGGAGGAAGAAGAAGUAGAAGAAGAAGAGAAUGAGAGGGGGGUGGGGUGGGCGAACUUUAUUAAUCAAGCAUCUCAGAUUAAUUGUUAUGAAGUGUCACCCAUAAAUUCUCCAUUUGGAUUUAAUAAUCUUGGAGGUAGACUUAACAAUCUCUGUCGUGAUUUGAGUUUUAUUGAAGAGGCUGCAGAGAGAGAGAGGGGGAGAGACAGAGCGAGAGAGAGAUGCAGUGACACAAAUAGCUUCUCAGCGGACAGUCCCUCUCCGCAUGACAGUUAUGAAAUACAAUUAUCAGCAAGAUCUGCUUAAGAAUUCAUCAACUGCACCCUGCCUUCCAAGGAGAGAAGGGGAAAAAAUAUCCUACAUACAAAGCAAGUCUUAACUGAUAAGUCUUCUCUUUUCCCUGCAGCCCUUAAACUAUCAUUUCAAUUCCUCUGUCUCAGACACGUUAAGUCACUGUAAAGGUAUGGUACGCGUGUGUCUUUGAAAGCUCCCCGAGCCUUAUUUAAAGCAUAAAUCAUCAGGUAAUCAGGGACUACGUAAAUGACACACCGCACGCAAACCGGCACGAUAGCGAGCAUCUCGUUUGAAAUGUACAACCCGUUGGUUUGCGUCAGGGUCAAUAUUAGCAGUUAAUCUGUGCGUGCAGUGAAAACAUACUGUCAGUGAAUUGUACAACACACUGUCAGCUCUCAAAAGUAAGGCAAAUGAUUUCAAUCAGCUGUCGUCUAAUUGCAGUCGCAUCUUUUGAAACGGAUGAAGAACGGCCACUAUGUAGGUUGACAGUAUGCAUAAAAUUAGCAUAGCUUUGCAUAUUGCAAUUCCAUUAGUGGUAGUGUUAUUGGAGGCUUGGGCUUUCCUUCUUACUGCACAGUUGCAUUGUCUUAAAGGGACACGGGCAGGAUGAUAGUAAAAGAUAAGAAUCAUUAGGACUCAAAGCGGAGCUAAUUUCUACAUCAAAGAGCAGAAUCUCGCAGGAUAACGUCGUCCGAUACGAGGAAGGUGUUUUAUAAGAAAAGCGCUCUGACAAAAGACAGAUCUGAGAAAUGGAAAGGGGCUCUGUCUUUGCACGGAAUAUUAAUGGAAAGUCUUUCUGUGACCGUUUUUGGAAAAUGCCGGCGAAGCUUGUUAAACAUGUGCCUUUAACUACACUUUCCCCUGCGCGAGAUAUCGUCCUGAUCAAUGAUGCCUCGCCCGUGUGAAAAAUGACUAUAGCUGGAUUCACGGUAAAUGUUUUAGCUAUCAACACUCCUUCAUGGCCAAUCCCUCACUGACACUACAUCCUGGCGGCAGCCUGGUUAAAUCCGAGCCCGUCUUCUCCCCUCAGUGAUUGCAGUCGUCAGCCGGUGAUGUGUGGCUCCUGAGCCAUCGCGUCGCUUCUGGCUCAUCGGUUUCGGUGAGUUGCGAGCGCUAAUUCAGCGAGGUGGCGGAGAAAUUUUCUAAUAAUUUUGUGACACUCGAGCACCGCAAGAGGCCAGACCACAGACAGUUUGUUUACACUCACUUUGAUAAUGUAAUUAAGACCAGAGUAAAGCAACACAAAUUACUACAACUACCAUGUGAACUUUUUUUUAAUUAUAUGAAUUAAAGUCAUAAUCAGGGAGCAUCAAACUCAAUUAAGAGAGCUCGAUUACACGUCAAUCUCUUCCAUCACUCAUGUCAGUUUAAGUCUUUAUUAAGUCAAGGAAAGCAGUUUGUUUAAAGCGAUGCAAGGAUUCUUGAGGAAAGAGCCAACGUUUUGCUUCUUGAGCUUAGCAAUCUGACAAUUCACAGACUAGCCAUACUGUUCUGCAGUGAUGUACAGUGACCGUGCAUUAGUCACUGAUAUAUGUGUAAAUAUACUGCAUGUUUAAAACUGCAGCUACUGUAGGCACAAUCAGGUGGGUAUCAUUAAGCACACCCAGCUCUUUAAUGUGCAUUUAACCCUAAAAAAAUAUAAAUGCCACAAAUGCACACCAAGAAAACAAAUACAAUGUGUCUUUUAUACAAUUAAAUAAUCUAAUACAAUUUUUCUGCAUGCAAAACCUUAAUGCUGUUCAUGUCCAUGCAGUUCAUGCGUCUUCCACUCAAGCAGAAAGCCCCAAACAGAGAUGCCAUGGUGGUACUUUUUUCACUUAAAACAAACAUUUUGAGAAAUUAAUAUAUAAAAAACUUUGUUUGCAUUUACAAAUAUCUUUUUUUGGUCAAAUUUGAUAUUUCUAAGACAGCGGUCCCCAACCUUUUUUGCGCCACAGACUGGUUUAUGUCCGACAAUAUUUUCACGGACCAGCAUUUAAGGUGUUGCAGAUAAAUACAACAAAAUAAAA